AUACCAUCGCGAAAUUUCUGUUCACCUCGGGUUCGACCGGAACGCCGAAGGCCGUCAUCAACACCCAGCGCAUGCUGACGUCCAAUCAGGCGGCGAAGAUUCAGACCUGGCCGUUUCUCGGCGAACCAAAUCUCACCACGCUCGACUGGCUGCCAUGGAGCCACACGUUCGGCGCCAAUCACAACUUCAACUGCGNNNNNNNNUACAUCGACAGCGGCAAGCCCGCGCCCGGCCUGUUCGCGCUGUCGCUCGCCAAUCUGUGCGAUGUGAUUCCGACGGUGUAUUUCAACGUGCCGCGCGGUUACGACAU
Molecule: unclassified non-coding RNA, 310 nt
Filed under: Hevea brasiliensis (rubber tree)
Lineage: Eukaryota; Viridiplantae; Streptophyta; Magnoliopsida; Malpighiales; Euphorbiaceae
Source: RNAcentral